GGUGGUUCAGUGGUAGAGCACUUGCCUUGUAUGCAUGAGGCCCUGUGUUCGAUUCCUCAGCACCA
This 65-nucleotide transfer RNA is filed under the name Dipodomys ordii (Ord's kangaroo rat). It matches the Rfam family "tRNA". From Rfam's summary of the family: Transfer RNA (tRNA) molecules are approximately 80 nucleotides in length. Their secondary structure includes four short double-helical elements and three loops (D, anti-codon, and T loops). The record is from Rfam by way of RNAcentral. Lineage: Eukaryota; Metazoa; Chordata; Mammalia; Rodentia; Heteromyidae.